This 372-nucleotide ribosomal RNA is filed under the name Colosius propinquus. Its description in RNAcentral is "partial 16S ribosomal RNA". It matches the Rfam family "Bacterial large subunit ribosomal RNA", at positions 1860 to 2574 of the family's 2925-position model. Lineage: Eukaryota; Metazoa; Mollusca; Gastropoda; Systellommatophora; Veronicellidae. The record is from RNAcentral.
UGCCCGGUGAAAAUUUAACGGCCGCAGUACUCUGACUGUGCUAAGGUAGCAUAAUAAAUUGACUUUUAAUUGGAGUCUAGAAUGAAUGGGGUAACGGGUAAACUCUGUCUUAUUAUAAAAAAUUUUAAAUUAAUUUUAAGGUGAAAAUACCUUUUUUAAGAAAAUAGACGAGAAGACCCUAAGAAUUUUAAGAAAACUUUAUAAGAUCUUUUUACUGGGGCGGUAAGGAAUCAUAAAACAUUCUUUUUCUUGUUUUAUCAAAUGUUAUUUUUUUAAUUUAAAUUACCUUAGGGAUAACAGCAUAAUUUAUUUUUAAGUUUGUGACCUCGAUGUUGGACUAGGGAAUUUUAGGAUUAGUCAUCAUAAAAAAAG